CCUUCAAGUUUUCUACACAUUUCUUCUUCUUAUCCUCUCCUUCUCUCUCUAGAUCACUCCCUCUCUCUCUAAGCUCUUGGAGGAUGGAAGAAUGAAAUGGAAGUUAUGAGGAAAUAGGAAAGAAGGGGUCCGUAUCUAUAGAAAAUGAGGAACAUUAGAUUUGCACCAAGUGACAAAAUCUGGUGAGUAGCGAAAAAGUUAAUGGGAAAGGAGUGAUGUGAUGCGACCCGAUCGUAGUAUAAAAAAUAGAGGCACGUCUCCCAACCAACAACAACACACCGCCAAUCGGUGGCACACACUACCCAAGAUAGUGCACGGUGCCCAAGGGGGAACAACACACUGCCC
Molecule: long non-coding RNA, 345 nt
Filed under: Carica papaya (papaya)
Lineage: Eukaryota; Viridiplantae; Streptophyta; Magnoliopsida; Brassicales; Caricaceae
Description: long non-coding RNA (CPAP_LNC000875)
Source: RNAcentral